AGUGUCUGGUGGGUAGUUUGACUGGGGCGGUCUCCUCCUAAAGAGUAACGGAGGAGCACGAAGGUUGGCUAAUCCUGGUCGGACAUCAGGAGGUUAGUGCAAUGGCAUAAGCCAGCUUGACUGCGAGCGUGACGGCGCGAGCAGGUGCGAAAGCAGGUCAUAGUGAUCCGGUGGUUCUGAAUGGAAGGGCCAUCGCUCAACGGAUAAAAGGUACUCCGGGGAUAACAGGCUGAUACCGCCCAAGAGUUCAUAUCGACGGCGGUGUUUGGCACCUCGAUGUCGGCUCAUCACAUCCUGGGGCUGAAGUAGGUCCCAAGGGUAUGGCUGUUCGCCAUUUAAAGUGGUACGCGAGCUGGGUUUAGAACGUCGUGAGACAGUUCGGUCCCUAUCUGCCGUGGGCGCUGGAGAACUGAGGGGGGCUGCUCCUAGUACGAGAGGACCGGAGUGGACGCAUCACUGGUGUUCGGGUUGUCAUGCCAAUGGCACUGCCCGGUAGCUAAAUGCGGAAGAGAUAAGUGCUGAAAGCAUCUAAGCACGAAACUUGCCCCGAGAUGAGUUCUCCCUGACCCUUUAAGGGUCCUGAAGGAACGUUGAAGACGACGACGUUGAUAGGCCGGGUGUGUAAGCGCAGCGAUGCGUUGAGCUAACCGGUACUAAUGAAC
RNAcentral lists this ribosomal RNA (662 nucleotides) under Escherichia coli. RNAcentral's name for it is "partial 23S ribosomal RNA". It matches the Rfam family "Bacterial large subunit ribosomal RNA", at positions 2253 to 2909 of the family's 2925-position model. Lineage: Bacteria; Pseudomonadati; Pseudomonadota; Gammaproteobacteria; Enterobacterales; Enterobacteriaceae. The record is from RNAcentral.